This 230-nucleotide ribosomal RNA is filed under the name uncultured bacterium. RNAcentral describes it as "partial 16S ribosomal RNA". It matches the Rfam family "Bacterial small subunit ribosomal RNA", at positions 99 to 334 of the family's 1533-position model. The record is from RNAcentral.
CGGACGGGUGAGUAAUGUCUGGGAAACUGCCCGAUGGAGGGGGAUAACUACUGGAAACGGUAGCUAAUACCGCAUAACGUCGCAAGACCAAAGAGGGGACCUUCGGGCCUCUUGCCAUCGGAUGUGCCCAGAUGGGAUUAGCUAGUAGGUGGGUAACGGCUCACCUAGGCGACGAUCCCUAGCUGGUCUGAGAGGAUGACCAGCCACACUGGAACUGAGACACGGUCCAG